This 6479-nucleotide long non-coding RNA is filed under the name Cricetulus griseus (Chinese hamster). RNAcentral describes it as "lncRNA (ENSCGRG00015038558.1)". The record is from RNAcentral. Lineage: Eukaryota; Metazoa; Chordata; Mammalia; Rodentia; Cricetidae.
UCUGUUCUCUGGGAGGCAGUUUAAAUACCCUGUUAGAGUGAUAAUGAGCAUUUCUGGGGGAGGGGUCAUCAUUUGUCAGGCUUUCUGAGAUGCAGGAGGAUUUGGGGGCAGAUGUGGGAGGGGGCUUGGGUGGAACCUCCACCAUAACAUCCCAGACUUUUUGGGUAUAUGGAUGCCAGGGGCUGGGGCAGAUCUUUCACCAUAACAGCUUUGUUUUGUUUGUUUUUAAACAUCUACUUAUUUACUUGAGAGCACGUUUGGAGCAGAGGAGAGAUUACUUGUAAAUUCUUGGCUGAAGUCAGUUCCUUCUCUAUUAGUGAAAGGCAGUUCUCUUCCACGAGUCCAGCCUGGCAAUCAAUGAGGUGACAUGUCACAGCCAGAUCGCCCUCAAACCUAUCUCAACUCUGCAACCUGGGCUCCUCCCUGUCUUACAGCAGAUAGAGAGGACCCUAUCAAACCAAAGAUCUGAGCCUGUUGGGCUUGAAGUCAGACUCUGAAGUGCCUGUCCUGUGCCUACCCCCCUGCAUUUGGGCCAUGAGCAGCAAAGCAUACAAGACCCCUGGGUCUUGGUCACAGUUCGAAUUUUCAUUCUUAGCACUGCUACAGUAAGGACAUUCAGACACUUCUGAAAUGAUGGCUCAUUUGAAAUUAACCUUUUCCAGAACUGAAAGAUUUACAAAAACUAUACAAACACAGGAACAAGGUGGACAACAAGCCCAAUCUAAAAGCCAGGAAAAAGAAAGAAAGAAAAAGAAAGAAAGAAAGAAAGAAAGAAAGAAGAGAAAGAAAGAGAGGAAACUGCACCAUUUGUCAGAUUCAACCAUUGAGGGACAUCACAUUGUGGCCCAUUACGAUGCUAUGUACUUGAAGGCCAAUUAGAAGUCAUUAGAGUUAUGAGAAGGUGCUAAUAAAAUAGGCUUGUGCAAAAUAAUGCAUUACUUACUGAGGCCUGAGUUAAACUCAUGGAUGUCUUGUGGAAAUUGAAAAUCAUACUUGAUUGCUUCUACAAAUAUUUUAUUACAUUUUGUUACAUCUUUUGUGAUGAGUGUGUGUACCAUAGCACUAAUGUGGAAGUCAAAGGACAGAUUGUGGGAAUUGGUUCUCUACUUCUGCCAUGUGGGUUGAUAGGAUGGAAUUUACAUCAUCAGGCUAGAAGAUGGCAGGAGCCUUCAUCUGCUGAGCCAACUCAGCAGCUCCAUACGCAAUGCAAAAUUCACAUGAAGUAAUGUUCCUGUGAAUUUCAGACAAAUGAUCUUCCAGAUGUUUCUCUGUGUAGCUCUGGUUGUCCUGGAACUAGCUCUGUAGACCAUGCUGGCUUUGAACUCCGAGACCUACUUGUCUCUGCCUCUUGAGUACUGGGAUUAAGGGCCUGUGCUACCACCUGAAAUAUUUAAACUCAUAACCCAUUAUCUGCUAGGCAAGUGCUGUACCAGAGCUAUAGUCUCAACCUUUUUUAUUCAUUUACUUUUGUUUAGAUUUUAGUUUUUAUUUUCUAUGUGAGAAGCUUAAGGUUUAUAAAUUUUAUCCUGCUCUAAUUUUUGUUUAGAUUUUAGUUUUUACUGUUUUAAAUUAUGUAUGUGUGGGCUGAAGAGAUGGCUCAGAAGUUAAAAAGCACUGACUGCUCUUCCAGAGAACCCAGGUUCAAUUCCCAGCACCCACAUGGCAGCUCAUGUGUGUAACUCCAAGAGCUGACACCCUCACAUAGACAUACAUGCAGGCAAAACACCAAUGCAUAUAGAAUAAAAAUAAAUUAAAAAAAAUUUUGUGUGUAGACACCUGGAGCGGCCAGAGACAUCAGAUCUCUUGUAUCUGGAGUUACCAGUUGUAAGCCACAUGUCAUGAGUGUUAGGAACUGAAAUUGGGGGUGGUGGUAGUGCAUGCCUUUAAUCCCAGGCCAGCAUGGUCUACAAAGUGAGUUCCAGGACAGCCUGGUCUACACAGAGAAACCAUGUCUUGAAAAACAAAAACAAAAAGCAAAACAAGCAAACAAAAAACUUUGGGGGCUGGAGAGAUGGCUUAGAGGUUAAGAGUACUAGCUGCUAUUCUAGAGGACCCAGGUUGAAUUCCCAGCACCCACAUGGUAGCUCAGAAUUGUCUUUAACUGCAGUUGAUCCCACACUGUCACACAGACAUAUAUGCUGGCAAAACACCAAUGCACAUGUAAUUAAAAAUAAAUAUUAAAAAACAAGAAAGAGUUGGGCGUUGGUGGCACACACCUUUAAUCCCAACACUUGGGAGGCAGAAGCAGGUGGAUCUCUGUGAGUUCAAGGCCAGCCUGGUCUACAAGCGCUAGUUACAGGACAGCCUCCAAAGCCACAGAGAAAACCUGUAUCGAAAAAAAAAAAAAAAGAAAGAAAUUGAAAUUGAGUCAUUUGUAGUGUGUGUUCUUAUUAAUCCCUGGAGGCAUCUCUCUAAUCCCUUGUUUGUUUCUUUUGAGACAGGGUUUCUCUAUGUAUUCCACAAUCCCCUGGAAUGCACUAUGUAGCUAAUAAUGCUCUUAAGUUCACGUCCUCCUACUUUAGUUUCUUCGUUUCCUUUUUUAAUUUUUUUUUUUUUGAGACAGGUUUUCUCUUUGUAGCCCUGCUGUCCUGGAACUUGCUCUGUACACCAAGCUGGCCUUAAACUCAUAUAUCCACUUGCCUCUGCCUCACAAAUUCUGGGAUUAAGGCAGGUAGCACCACCACUUGGCUUGUUUCCUUAUUUUUAAUGUGCUUACCAAUUUUCCCAAAGCUGCCUUGCUUCUGUCCAAUCCAUAGCUGUUUCCAUAUUUCAAUAUUAUAUAGUUUUUAUGUUCUAUGUGAGAAGCUUAAGGUUUAUAAAUUUUAUCCUGCUCAAGAAACCUUUAUAGUCAUUCAUUGUAAAAAUCUUAAUCUAGGACUCUGGAGGCAGCUCAAUUGGUAGAGCACUUGCCUGGCAUGUGCGAGAGCCUGGGUUCCACCCCCAGAAACCAAGGGUGAUAGAGCAUUAUCUGUAAUCCCAGCUUGCCAGUGGUAAAAGUGGGAGGUUCAGAAGUUCAAACUUAUCGUUGGCCAUACCGUAAGUUCAAGAUGAGCCCAGGACACACCAGACCCUGUCUCAAAAGAAAAAAAGAAAAGAAAAGAAAAGAAAAAAGAAGAAAAAGAAAGAAAGGAAGGAAAGAAAGAAAGAAAAAAAGUUGUAUCUGUGUAAUUACAACUUGACUUGUAAAAAUUUAAGCUAUUCCUGAACUCGAAGCAAUUUCGUCAACACACACUGGGCGAUAAGGUAAUUUCCUGAAAUGCAGUGUUUUGCUGUUCUAUGCACAGAGGCUGAGUAGCUUUCCAGCGUCUGCCCACACACAAUAUGCUUAUCUGCCAUCAAGAGACAUUUGCUUCCACGUUCUCGCUACGGCAAUCCUAAUGGACACGAGGUGGUGGCAUCUCAAUGUGACUUGGGCUAUAGUCCUUUAAAGGUUAGCAGUUCUGAGCGUUAAUGAGCUAAUUACUCAUGUGUGUGUCUUCUUUGCCAAAAUGACAAAACUCUUGCCUGUUUGUGAUUGAAUUGUUAUUAUAGGUGUUUGUAAGAUUUAUAUUUUGAAACCCUAAUCCCUUGUGUGACUCUUUCUGUAGAUGGGUUUAUAAGUAAUUAAGGCUAAUGAAGCCACAAGGUAGCUGAAGGGACUAGUGUUCUUACAGGAAGACAGAGAGUGCUCUCUUCCUCUGUCUUCUUCCCCUCCUCCUUCUGAGUACAAAUGAAGGGUCAUGUGAGGACACAGGGAGCAGGCAGCUGUCCGAAAGCCAGGAGAGAGAGAGAGAGAGGGAGGGAGGGAGGAAGGGAGAGAGAAAGAGAGAGGCCACCAGAAACCAAACUUGUAAAACUUAAUUCUGGAUUUCUAGCCACUAAAACUAAGAACACAAAUUUCUGUUGUGUUUAAGUCAUCUAUCUGUCCGUGGUAUUUUGUUAUGGUGAACAUAAGCAGACUAACAUAUUCAUAAGAGAGAAAAAAUUAUGAAAAACUAAUCCACACAAACCCUUUUGAUCUGAGGAAAUUACUAUUAAGACUAGAAAAAGGUGUUCUGGUUGGUGGCACAUGCCUUUAAUCCCAGCACUUUGGAGGCAGAGGCAGGCAUAUUUCUGUGUGUUCAGGGCAGACUGGUCUACUUGGUGAGUUCCAGGCCAGCCAGUUAUGUAUAGUGAGACCCUGUCUAAAAACAAACUAACAAGAAUAGAAAAGGCUGGGUAUAAUAGCUUAUACCUAUAUGUCUUUGGACUCAAGAGGCUGAAGUGGGAGUAUAGUAAGUUUGGUAUCAGAGAAAACAGUGAGAUUCAAGGACGUCUAUGAAGAAAAAUAAAGGUGAUUCUCUCCCCACCACACAGUGGAGGCACCCUCCUGGACCCCAGAUUAGGCACAAACCACACACAAAUACCUGUUUCCCAGAGACAGCCUUUAUUAAGGAGAUGGGAAGAGUUAAAGUGGUUGCUUUCUGACUCAGGCAGAAAAGCAAAACAAAUGAUCUUGCAGGUAUAUAUUUUUUUUUUCCAGACAGGGUUUCUCUGUGUAGCUUUGGAGCUUAUCCUGGCCCUCGCUCUGGAGACCAGGCUGGCCUCAAACUCAGAGAUCCGCCUGCCUCUGCCUCCUGAGUGCUGGGAUUAAAGGCGUGCCCCACCAACACCCGGCGCAGGCAUAAUUUUUAACAAACUUUUAAAAAAAGAUUUUAUUUAUUUAUUAUGUAUACAACAUUCUCCUUCCAUGUAUAUCUGCACACCAUAAGAGGGCACCAGAUCUCAUAAUGGAUGGUGUAAGCCACCAUGAGGUUGCUGGGAAUUGAACUCAGUAUCUCUGGAAGAGCAGUUGGUGCUCUUAACCUCUGAGCUAUCUCUCCAGCCCCCCCAAACAUUUUUUAAAUUUAUUUUUAUUUAUGUGUGUGUCCCACAGAGGCUGGAAGAGGGCACCAGAUCACCUGGAGCUGGAAUUACAGACAGUUGUGAACUGCCAUGUGGGUGCUGGUAAUUGAACCCUGGUGCUCUGGAAGAGUAGCCAUUGCUCUUAACUGCUGAGCCAUCAUCUCGCCAGCCCUGCAGGUGUAAUUUUUAAGAAGAGAAAAAACCAGGAAGUCUGUGUUAGAAAUCUGUGCUGUGGUGUGUUUUGAUUGGGCUUUUGAUGGCUGGACUUUAAUACUUUGAUAGAUGGACCUUGGUAGUCAGUCUGAGGAGAAGAAGUGGCAGCUAGCUUUGGGAAUGUAAUCUAACAGUUUUUUUUUUUUUUUCUUUUGCAAGGCAGAGGGAAUAGGAGAGAAAAGCAGGACUUGCCAGAAUCAUGCUUGCUCUGCUAGAGCUGGCCAGAAUCCCUUCAACAAACAAACAAACAAACAAACAAAAAACAAAUAAACAAAAAAAAUGUGAGAAAACAGUCACAAAUCCCCAAAGGAAUAUUUUAUAGAAUACAGAACACUUUAAAUCAGUAAUAAAUAUAGGGGAGGGGGGAAGAGAGUUGAAUGGGCAUUUCUCCCAAGCCAAAAAAAAAAAAAAAAAAAGCUCAUUAUUAAACAUUAGAAGGCAAAUUUAAACCAAAUUGAAAAACUGCUACAAGCCUAUUGUAAUGGAUCAAAUGUAAAAGGAAGUAAUAAUGAUGUUAUUGAGUGCAAGUAAAAAUGUAGGACUUGGGUCAGCAAGAUGGCUUAAAAGGUGCUUGCCGAGCAACCUGAGUUUGAUCUCGGGAACCCAUGGUGGCGAGAACCUACCCUAAAAGUUGUUCUCUGACCUCUACAAGCCUGUAUGUGUGCACCCAAGCACACACACACACACACACACACACACACACACACACUUAAUAGUAAUAAUAAAAUUAAAGUUAACAAAAAAGAUGCAGAGUUUAGCUGGGUAUACCAGCAUAUACCUAUAAUUACAGCUCUUGGGAGACAGAGACAGGAAGACCGAGAGUUCAGUACCAGUUUGGGCUAUGUGAAACUUGUCAUAAAACAAACAGACAGACAUACAAACAUAUAGCAAUAAAUACAAAGAGCCUUAGCUUUCCUGGAAUUUCAGUGCUGAUAGAAUGCAAAAUGGUACAGCCACUUUGUAAUAUAUAUAAAAGGAACAUCCAGACUGAUUUCUGUUUUAUUAUUAUUAAAUUUAUAAUUAAAUAACUUAUUAAAAUAUUAAAUAAAAUUAUAGAGUGUGUGUGUGUGUGUGUGUGUUAUUUUAACAGGGUCUCUAUUCUGUAGCUCUGGCUUUCCUGGAACUCAAUAUUUAGAACAGGCCAGCCUUGAACUCACAGAGAUCCACCUGCAUCUGCCUCCUGUGUGUUGGAAUGAAAGUCUUGCACUACCACACUGGCAUUUUUAUUACUAUUGUGCAUGGCGGGGUGAGGAGAUCACCAGCCCCUAACAAUGGCUCCGGACAGUUUCUUACAGUGUUAUACACUUACUUAUGAGGCCCAGUGUUUCCACUUACUCCUUGUAAACCUUGGAGAAUGGAGACAUUCAAUAUUUACGGGUGGAAAUCACACACACAUAUAUGAG